This 291-nucleotide long non-coding RNA is filed under the name Gossypium raimondii (Peruvian cotton). RNAcentral's name for it is "long non-coding RNA (GRAI_LNC010581)". Lineage: Eukaryota; Viridiplantae; Streptophyta; Magnoliopsida; Malvales; Malvaceae. The record is from RNAcentral.
CAGCAUCUCUGAAUGCUUGGAAAAUGACAAUCCUCUAGGUGAUUCUUCAUCUCAAUCUUCAUUUUCUUCAUUAAUUUUCAUUACCUUGUAGAAACUUCAGUUUAGAUUGUUGGGGUUCGAACCGUAUAAAUAAUGAGAUAAUAAAAGUGGAGAAGAACAAGUACAAAUAUUUUACGUGGAAAACCCUUAAAGAGGGAAAAUCCACGGGCGACUUUCCACUAAAUGAGUAAACAAACGAGAGUAAAAUAUGGAGAAAAUAAACCUAAAUGUACUAAACAUGCAUUACCAAAC